Molecule: ribosomal RNA, 253 nt
Filed under: uncultured bacterium
Lineage: Bacteria
Description: partial 16S ribosomal RNA
Rfam family: Bacterial small subunit ribosomal RNA
Source: RNAcentral
UACGGAGGGUGCAAGCGUUGUCCGGAUUUAUUGGGUUUAAAGGGUGCGUAGGCGGCUUUUUAAGUCCGGGGUGAAAGCCCGUUGCUCAACAACGGAACUGCCCCGGAAUCUGGAGAGCUUGAGUACAGACGAGGGCGGCGGAAUGGAGGGUGUAGUGGUGAAAUGCAGAGAGACCCUCCAGAACACCGAUUGCGAAGGCAGCGGCCUAGACUGUAACUGACGCUGAGGCACGAAAGCGUGGGGAGCGAACAGG